CCUACGGGUGGCAGCAGUCGAGAAUUUUUCACAAUGGGGGAAACCCUGAUGGAGCGACGCCGCGUGGGGGAUGAAGGGCUUCGGUUCGUAAACCCCUGUCAUUGGCGAACAAGUGUUGCGUCCUAAUACGGCGCAACUUGAUAGUAGCCGAAGAGGAAGGGACGGCUAACUCUGUGCCAGCAGCCGCGGUAAUACAGAGGUCCCGAGCGUUGUUCGGAUUCACUGGGCGUAAAGGGUGCGUAGGUGGUUGGUUAAGUUUGAGGUGAAAGCUCCGAGCUCA
This 280-nucleotide ribosomal RNA is filed under the name uncultured bacterium. RNAcentral's name for it is "partial 16S ribosomal RNA". It matches the Rfam family "Bacterial small subunit ribosomal RNA", at positions 338 to 611 of the family's 1533-position model. The record is from RNAcentral.